RNAcentral lists this ribosomal RNA (434 nucleotides) under Acinetobacter sp. oral taxon C51. RNAcentral's name for it is "bacterial SSU rRNA". It matches the Rfam family "Bacterial small subunit ribosomal RNA", at positions 30 to 462 of the family's 1533-position model. Lineage: Bacteria; Pseudomonadati; Pseudomonadota; Gammaproteobacteria; Moraxellales; Moraxellaceae. The record is from RNAcentral.
AUUGAACGCUGGCGGCAGGCUUAACACAUGCAAGUCGAGCGGAGCGAGGGUGCUUGCACCUUAGCUUAGCGGCGGACGGGUGAGUAAUGCUUAGGAAUCUGCCUAUUAGUGGGGGACAACAUUCCGAAAGGGAUGCUAAUACCGCAUACGCCCUACGGGGGAAAGCAGGGGAUCACUUGUGACCUUGCGCUAAUAGAUGAGCCUAAGUCGGAUUAGCUAGUUGGUGGGGUAAAGGCCUACCAAGGCGACGAUCUGUAGCGGGUCUGAGAGGAUGAUCCGCCACACUGGGACUGAGACACGGCCCAGACUCCUACGGGAGGCAGCAGUGGGGAAUAUUGGACAAUGGGGGGAACCCUGAUCCAGCCAUGCCGCGUGUGUGAAGAAGGCCUUUUGGUUGUAAAGCACUUUAAGCGAGGAGGAGGCGCUCUAGGAUA